Molecule: long non-coding RNA, 8166 nt
Filed under: Eucalyptus grandis
Lineage: Eukaryota; Viridiplantae; Streptophyta; Magnoliopsida; Myrtales; Myrtaceae
Description: long non-coding RNA (EGRA_LNC002153)
Source: RNAcentral
CCGAAAACAGCCUGAAGUGCGACACUUCCCGCUGUUAGUCUCACUCAAUGGAAAUCACUUCCUUAUUCGCACUACUGAAGACGGAGACCCUGAGCACGAUAUUGUCCCUAUCGAGGAGCUCGAACAUGCAGACAUCUCCUUCGCGCAGGUGAGCUUCUCUUGCCAACGCGGACCAACCGAUCCCCAAGAUGGCGAUGUGUAAGUGCCGAUAGACCAGGAGUUUCACCUCAAACGAUCGGCCCAAAUAAACAACAUUCACCAUUUGAUGGUCUUUCUGAAUGUAUGUCUUUAUGAACUGCCAUGGAAUGGUCUGCUCACAUGUUUGAUGACGAACCAAUGUGUGAUAAGAAACGGGCAUGAUAUAAGCAUGCAAAUUCAAGAGCGAAGCAUAGAAGAUUUAGAUAAGUAAGACCUCUGGCUUACCACGGUUUGUCUUUCAAUUUGAUAUGGCAAUAUCACGACAUUGCAAAAUGGAUACUCCGAUUCAAAUUCGCAAGCUCUUUCAUGAGCAAUGACAGGGCUCAGGCAUGGAGAAGUGUGGAAAGCUGACUCCGAAGGGUGCUCUUGGCAUUGAGAUUGUUCGGUUUGGAUCUGACCUGCAAUACAAAGAGGCGAAUUCUUGUAAGCACAAGUAUGAACUUUUCAUGAAUUGACCAUGAAAGGAUUUAGCAUGGAUUGCAAAUCAUUAUGCAGGGUCGUUUUCAUGCUCUUCCUAGAAGAUGUAAUCAAGUAGAUUUUGCACUUCCCGAAUAAUUAUCCCGUAAUAGGUUUUUUAGGAUUGGAAAACAGAUUAAGAAUAGAAAGUACAUAAGCAGAAACAUUUCUUACGCCGGCGGCGACGGGCGGCGGCGGCCGGACUGACACCUGCAAAUUUAGAUGCGAAUGUGACGUCAUCAGCAAGUGUGCAUUUGAAUUAUUACAAACCUCACAAACCAUACAGAAGAAUUCAUCAUCUCGGAAGGCUCAUAACUUAAAGAAAAAAAGGGAUAAAAAAGUGCACUUUAAAUGGAUUCAUCACUGCUGAACUGAACAAAGGAGUGGUAAUUUGGGAUACUGAGUUCCUCAGUGAUUUACACGGCAUACAAUGAAACCUCUAGUGUUCAUCUCAAUCGACAUAGAUCAGGUUCUUACCAUCACUGCGGAAAAUGGAGACUCUGAAGACAAUGUCAUCCCUAUCAAUGAGCUCGAACACACAGCAAUCUCCUACAAGGAGACCAGUUUCUCUUGAGAAUGAGGACCAACCAAAUGAGAGACAUGCUGUAUGUUCAUAGCUCCUUAGCUUCACCUGCCAUGAUCUGUCUGAGUACCUAAGAGUUGCGAUUUGCUUGUUCUUUUGAACAUGCUUGAUGAAGAAGUCACGAGGGAUGGUCUGCCAAUAGGUGUUAGAACAACCGGUAUACGAUUAACGAAGGUGAUACAGUAAGGAUACAUGAUAUGUGAAUUUAUGAUAAAAUUUCUAGUUUCAGGAGUUUUAAUCAACUGAUUUUACUUGCUAAUGGAAGUCAUCAAUCGUAACCACUUAACCUGCAAUUUUGCGUCUAAUAUAUGCUCCUGGGCUAAAGCUGAAGCCAUCAAUUUGGAGCCAAGUUAUAGAUAGGAUUUGCAUCUCAAUUUGACUCCUACCAUGAACACUACAAGGAAAAUAACAUGCCAUCUGGUUUCCUACACAAACUAAUUCGACUUGGCAAACACUAUAAUAUAUGACAAAAUACAAACAGUGAUCAAAUUUGAAUUCGACCUAUACCACCAACAAAUAGAGCUCAGGAUCUUACCAAAGAUUUCCGAACAUAAGAAGGCUGUACCACCACCUUGAAAAAGGGAUGGUCCGAUUUGAAUUCGCUGGCUAAUUCAAAAGCAGCGAGAUGACUUGGAACUGCAGAACCAUGAAAAACCAGCUCAAGAUGACUUACUCUACAUUGAAACUGCUUGAUUUCGUCUGCACUUGUGAAAUGAGAACUGCACUAGAUUUUAUCAAUUAACUGACUAUGACAUUUGCAUCGAUGGAAAAAAUAAUAUGAUCUAUAGUUUCAAGAUAAAGAUAACUUGAUGUAGUAAAUUCAUCAUCACCUUCCAAUUAGAAGUAAAUAAUUAACUAAAAUUUCCACAGACUUUAUCAAUUACAUAUAAAAAUAGCUUAUCAAAAAGUUUGGAAGAAAAUGAAAACGACAAGAACUGAGGAAAGAGAGUUAUGCCAAGAAGGAACAUGGCGCAGAACACAAGUCACACCUCCAUAUUCUCGAGACGACCUGUAUGAACUUGGCUGUGAACAAGGCAUGGAACCCUCUGAAUCUUCGAUUUCCAUGACAUCUUCCUCUUUUCGCGAGAUGAAUUCCUCCUCAGGGUUUGACAUAUCGCUUUCGAUGCUCGAUGGAUAAUCAAUCUCCGAAGCACUCUUAUCGAAUAUUAUCACGUGGAAAACGGAGUCCCCUUCGUACUUGAAGACUAGGAGGUGACCAUGACCAAUCGAAUAAUGCUCCAUGAAACCUCGCCACCCUUUCCACAACCAAACCUUGCCAUCGUCACUCUUUUCUAGUUUCACCGGCCAGGUCGAACCACCCGGAACCUUGAGAAGCACCAAACCCGAGAGGUCUUUCCCAUAUCUUCUCAAGAAGCUUUUUGGGAUUCCCUGUGAUGAAAAUUUAUGGUAAACCCAUUGCCCUCAUGUAUAGCUAAAUUCAAAGAUGCGAACUAAGAAAAACAGGAAACUUUCACAUUCUACCCUGUAGAUGAACGAUCAAUUUCCACAGACAAUGCCGUCACUAUACAAGUGCGGAGUUCAAUUAUCCAAUAAACGUUCAUUUCCGCAAUAAUAAUGUCCAGAAAUGGUAGCUACGCUAAAGCCAAAUCGCCAAACUAGCAUACUAAUCAAACGCUCAUUUUCAAUUUCCCCUUUUUUUGCAAGAAUUGAACAGUUCUUCGUUGCAAAACCAGAGACAUCCAUGACGAACCAGCACGAGCUGCGAGAGGCGGAGGGCAAGAUCGCAAAUGUCGCGAAAAUGAAUGAUGGGUAUGGAGCGAAACGGGAAGUGCGGACGAACUAACAAGCUUUCCGGAUUCGAGCGCGCGGGAGAGCACGAUCUUGAAGAAAUGAGGACUGCUCGGCGGGCUACCGGGAUCCAUCUCCGGCUCGGCACCUCCGCCUUCUCUCCGGCGACGGUGGCGGCUCUGGCGACCCAUGACCGAUCCCCGGCGACCGUGGCUGGCCGACGGACUGACUGCUGAAGAAGGGGAGAGGAGGAAUGGCAGGUUCAAGGAAGCGUGCGCUUUUGUCUUGUACUGUCGGCUUCAGAAAUGGCUUCUCUUCUGGUCUGGUGCCUUUCCUUUCGAGUGCAAAAAUCACAAAAAUAGAAAAAACUCAAACCAUUUCCGACAUGUUUUUCCUAAAUUUGUUUUUGCGCCGUACAACUAAUCUUAAAAUUAUAUCUAUGUGACAUAUUUAGUCUCUGUCAAGGUUUCAUCAAUAAGUACUGUUAAAAAUAGGUCAUAUAUGUAUAAAUGUGAGAAUUUUUAUGUUAUAAGAAAAAAAAACUAGAUAAAUGUGUCAUGAUAGACAUAAUUUGAGAUUUUUGAUGUAAAAAAAAAGUUUAGAUUAAAUGAGUUAUAGUUGGCAUAAUUAAAAUUAAAAAUUUUAAAUUUUUUUGCUGAUGUGGUACUUACAAACCACAGAAAUUUUUUUCUCUAAUAUUAGUGUGUUAGUUGCAUUGGCCAACUUGGUUUUAGCCGAUAGCCUAAGCCACUCCUUAUCUUGGUGCACCUUCUCGAUGUAUUGCUAUGUUAAGAAAGAUCGACACACCCUCUUGGACUUCGUGCCUCCGCAAACGCUUUGAAUAUACUAAUAAGCACAAACAUGUGUCCAUUUCGAAUCGAACGGGAAAAACUUCGAGCUAUAAUUAACAUAAUUAACCAGCAGCAAAACAAACGUAAUAGUAGUACUGUAUCCUCUUAUGUGUUGAAAAGAAUUUGGUUUUCGCAAUAAAUGCGUCUCUUUUGAUCAGCAAUCGUGAUAAUGGAAGUGUCUAAAUAUGGCGAAAUGGGACUGUUUUAGCAACGGCGACAAAAUUAGCCUUUUCUAGUCUUUUCCUUCUGGGAAAUUGAUCUUGUAUAUGACAAUGGGUUCUACUUUGACCCAUGACCUAUGAGCAUGAAUGUAAUCAUGUAAGUGCUAGUCUCAUUUUAAAUAUGGGGAUUUGACUUAAUUGACCAUCCAUAUCAUGGGAGUAGAUCUAACAUAAAUGGAUCAUAUAUGAAUCAUUUAAAUUUGGAAGAGCCUAUUUAAAAUGUAUUUUAAAUUUCAAAGCUGAAAUAAAUGGGUUUAAAUGGUGAGUUUAGAACUCAUUUUCAAUCCACUAGGAUCAACCACACUCUCCCUCCUUCUUUAGCCUUACAAUUAAAAAAAAAAAUCGAAUUUUAUUUUUAUUUUUUCUUUUCUCCUUCUUUUUUCUUCCAUCUUCCUUGGCCGGUGGUUGGCCACAGCAAUGAUGACAGCGAGGGUUAGCCAGGCGAGGGACAAGCUCACCAAUCAAGUGAGGCUGAGGCCUUGUUAAGGUCUAACACAAGUGAGGCCUGAGCUUGCUUGUUUGGCGAGGCUGAGACCUCGCUGAUGUUUGGCCAAUCGUCAUAGUGGCUAGUGGUUAGUCAAAGAAGAAUGGGAAACAAAAAAGAAAGAAUAAUUUAAAAAUAAUUUUUUAAAUAAAUAAAUAAUUUUUUUAUAAAAUAAAAAAGUAAAGGUUAAAAUUAUCAAAAGGAGUGUACAAAGGAAAAUCAAAUUAGGUUUUUCAUACAAAAUGAUAGAAAAUAUUUUUUGAUUUAUUUUAAAAAUUUAGGCAAAUACGAAAAAUAUUUUUAUUUUCCUAGAAAAUAACUUCCUAAAAAAAAUUUCAAAAAAAAAAUAGAGCCUCGCUCUUCUUCUUUUUUUAAAUUAUAAAAAUCCCACUAGAUUAGUAUUGAAUAAAAGUGUUUUAGCAAUACGAUUUUAAAAAAAAUUAAGAAACAAGCUUUUCUAGAUUUUGGAGUAUUUUAGUAAUAUAUAUAUAUAUUAUUUUUUUUUAACAUAAGAAUAAGUUUUCCAAAAUUGAGUUAAUAUGGAAAUAUUUUAACAAUACAAGUCAAGUUAGAUAUGAGUUAAGUAUAGAUAUAGGUCGGGUUAGGUAUAGAUAAGAAAAUUUAAAUUAUGCAUAAUUGGGUCAUAAAUAGAUUAAUGGAUUAAUUUGGUCGAACCAUUUAUGAUCCGACCCAAACCAAUCUCACCACUCAUUUUGCAGGUCUACAUGGGAGAUUCAGAUGGAAAGAUAGGCUCGCGUGGGCAGGGUUGAUGGUACGUUUUGAGUCCGAACCGUUCGGCAAUUGUCGGGUCAAGCGUGGUCACAAAUUCCAAGCCCCAUCUUGGCACCUCGCCCUGGGAAGAGGAGGCCCUUCUACUAGGAGAGCUUGGGACCAGGGAUACGUUUGGAUGUUCGGCUUCGGUCGACUUCGCAGUCGUCUACCAGCAAAGCUGGGCUUUGAUUGACUCAAGCCCGCACUGCCUGCCCAUUGAUUAAGUCCAGCAUCAAAGCAUGGAAAUUCAUAGCAAGUAUUUUUGCCCCUUUCUCAGUGAAUUGUUGAUGGUGAAAUCAGGGUAAGCAACCCAUAUGAUGGAGGAGGAGUUACAUUAAGAGCCAAAAGGCUUCUGCAAGGUUUGAGAGAGAGAGCUUGCUUCGGGCAAGUACCGAAUGUAAAUGAACUAUUUUAGAGGUGAUCAGUUCUAAGGUGGGUCUUCCAAAGUUAAAAUCUGAAACCUACCAUGUUAUAACCGGUUUCCAAUUUUUGGACCUCGAACUUAUCGUAUUUGCCUGGAACUGAUUUUGACACCUAUAUUGUUUUUCUAGUCUGAUUCUAGAAUCUAUUCAAGAAUCUGUUUGAUUUUUUAUCCCUAUUUUUUGUUCAUUUUUUACAACAAAAUCAUAUGAGGCUAUAAGUAAAGAAAUGAUUUAAAGUAAAAGAUGAAUAAUGGAAAUCAUAAUCUAUCAAAAAUAACAAUUCAUAAGAUGAAUACGUAAUAGCCGCAUACAAUUAUAAAAGAUAAAAAGUUCAAACACAUAACGUAAAACAUUAAUUAUAAAAAUUCAUUCCCCAUUCAUCACUAAAAAUGUAGGUAAAGAAGAAGACUCGCGAGGAAUUCUAAGAAAGGACAAAUGAUGAAAGAGUGCUGAUGUUAAAAUUUAGGGAAAAAAGAAAUUAGAAUUUUGGCUUUUUAAUUGAUAAAACCGGUUUCAAAAUAAGGCGAUCCAGUCUAGUUCCCAUACGAGUAUUCAUUCGAAACUUGCUUUCGGACCAGUUAUAAUCGUUUGUAAGAUAGAACUAGUUUACUUGCACACCCCUAUUUAGCAUCGCAAAUGCACGUUUCUGAUUAUGAAAGACAGAGUAAUCAUAUGCAUCAUCUAUCUACGGAAUAAUCUAUCUCAGAAGCAAUUUUAUCGAAUAUUAUCACACGAAAAGUGGAGUCCCCUUUCGUAUUUGAAGACUAUGAGGUGACCGUGCCCAACCGAGUAAUGUUCCAUAAAUUCCCGCCACCCCUUCUGCAGCCAAACUGUGCCGUUGUUGCACUUCUUUAGUUCUAUAGGCCAAGUUGAACCAAGUGGGACCUUGAGAAACGCCAAACUCGAAAGAUGGUUUCCAUAUUUCCUCAAGAACCUUCGUGGAAUUCCCUGUUAUAUGAUGAGCUUCAGGGGUCAUCUCGAGGCCCUCGUUCAUCAUGCAAAAGGAACUUGCAAAAAGCUAAGAAAUGUUCCGUUCUACGGAUUCGAACGAAAGAUCGAUUACCAUGGACAUAAAGCUUGAAAUACAAAGCAUUAUAUGGAACAUAAGGGGUCAAAUCACUUAUGACUACAUUUAACGAAGUGUGCUCUCAUCUGAUUUUCACAUGAACCCCAAGCUUACACCGUACCCACGACAUAGUGAGAAGACAUCUCAUGCAUGCAGUCCACUCAAAGCAGGAUCACUAGCUAUUUCUCCUCCCAAAACCAAGGAAACAUUCUUGGAUGAACAGAAAGUGUGUGAAAUUACGAGAAGUGAAGCCAUGCAAAGUGUGUGAAAUUUCGAGAAGUGAAGCCAUGCAUGCAAUGUAAAAUGGAACAUUGGCAAGAGAUGGUGGAGGCAAAGUUGAGAAUGAGUUUGAACUCACAAGCUUUCCAGAAUCAAAGUGUGUCGGAGAGUAUGAUCUUGAAGAAGUGAGGGCCAGCACGUUCACCCUCUCUCUCGCGGCAGCAACAACGGCAGCAAGCCAUGCAGCAGCGACACUGAAAGCUCAAAGAAGAAGAUGAAGGAGGGGGAGGGUGAUGAUGAGGAGAAUGACGGUGGUUUUGGGUUUCUACACGAGCCUGUUGAAAUGGCUUGCGUGGCCUUUGUUCUUGACAUGACUGUUUAUGAAAGUGUUGAUGUGAAGUAAUGGAUAUGGACACGUUGCUUUGUUAUUUAUGCUCGAGUAGCUCGACGACAGUAACAAUUUAUUAAACUUUCCCGGGCAAAAAAAUUACUAAUUUUGCUCUAAGAGAACGAUAGAAUGUAAUAUUUCGUACUUGACAUUUUUUUCGAUUACAUAAUCAUUUUUAUGUAAAAUGAUUGCGGUGAUGCUUCUAAAGCAUCACACAAGCUGCCUUUCCUUCUUUUCUUUCUUCUUGCCCUGUUUUUCUUCUAGCCCAUCCAUGAACUGCUCUCAUGAACGUUCUGAUUCAAGUAGAUUUUACAUUCACCUGAUUUGCAGUUCCCGGGAAACAAAGAAGAUUUAUGCGAGCAAGCAGAAGUGAGCUUCUUCCAUGAUUUUAAAUCAAAGUAUUAGAUAAAAGGAAGCACGAACUAGUAGUGUUCAGUAGUUCGUUUCUCGACUUCCUCUCAGCGCCGAAAACAGCCUAAAGUGACACUUUCCGCUGUUAGUCUCACUCAAUGCAAAUCACUUCCUUAUUCGCACUACUGAAGACGGAGACCCUGAGCACGAUAUUGUCCCUAUCGAGGAGCUCGAACAUGCAGACAUCUCCUUUGCGCAGGUGAGCUUCUCUUGCCAACGCGGACCAACCGACCCCCAAGAAGGCAAUGUAUAAGUGCCGAUAGACCCGGAGAUUCACCUCAAACGAUCGGCCCAAAUAAACAACAUUCACCAUUUGAUGGUCUUUCUGAAUGUAUGUCUUUAUGAAC